Molecule: transfer RNA, 77 nt
Filed under: Silvibacterium bohemicum
Lineage: Bacteria; Pseudomonadati; Acidobacteriota; Terriglobia; Terriglobales; Acidobacteriaceae
Description: tRNA-Val
Rfam family: tRNA
About the family: Transfer RNA (tRNA) molecules are approximately 80 nucleotides in length. Their secondary structure includes four short double-helical elements and three loops (D, anti-codon, and T loops).
Source: RNAcentral
GGGCGGUUAGCUCAGUUGGUUAGAGCAUCUCGUUUACACCGAGAGGGUCGGGGGUUCGAGUCCCUCACUGCCCACCA